CCCUUAGAUGUCCGGGGCUGCACGCGCGCUACACUGUAGAAAGCAGCGUGCUUUAAAACCUUUCCUGAAAAGGAUGGGUAACCCCAGCAAAAUUCUACGUGCUUGGGAUAGAGAUUUGCAAUUUUCUCUCUUGAACGAGGAAUUCCCAGUAAGUGCGAGUCAUCAGCUCGCGUUGAUUACGUCCCUGCCCUUUGUACACACCGCCCGUCGCUACUACCGAUUGGGAAAAUUUUAGAGAGCCCUGGACUGAUGAUUGUUCGGCUUCACGGCCUUACUUUCGUCGGGAAAGAAUUCGAUAAUAUUUUUCUAGAGGAAGUAAAAGUCGUAACA
This 330-nucleotide ribosomal RNA is filed under the name uncultured eukaryote. RNAcentral describes it as "partial 18S ribosomal RNA". It matches the Rfam family "Eukaryotic small subunit ribosomal RNA", at positions 1470 to 1796 of the family's 1831-position model. The record is from RNAcentral.